UCCCUUUUAUCUCUCUUCCUCUAAGCUCUCCCUCUUACCACAAAUUGCUUUACCGUUUCUGCGGUUUAUCAUCACUAACGUUGACCCAGAUGGGGAUUUGCUUGAAUCUGAGUUCUGGAUGUUGAAGCCAAAGAGCUUUAGAGGUGUGGUGGUGAUGGUAUUUGGUUUUGAAGGAUAAUCAAUCUCAGCCAUGAGAGAGAAGAUUAGUUCAGAGAUUAGAGAUACAGAUAAGUUGGAAGAGGUCUUUUUUUCUUUUUUCUUUUUUCUUUUUUAAUUUUUUAAUUUUAUUAUCA
This is a long non-coding RNA of Alnus glutinosa, 293 nucleotides long. RefSeq lists it as uncharacterized. Lineage: Eukaryota; Viridiplantae; Streptophyta; Magnoliopsida; Fagales; Betulaceae. The transcript has 2 exons. The record is from RefSeq and is a predicted model, not a curated record.